Zygosaccharomyces rouxii is the source of this 110-nucleotide non-coding RNA. The record is from Rfam. NCBI's taxonomy places the organism in Eukaryota, Fungi, Ascomycota, Saccharomycetes, Saccharomycetales, Saccharomycetaceae.
GUCCCGAGGACCCCUCGUGGACAUAUGGUCAAUUUGAAACAAUACAGAGAUGAUCAGCAGUUCCCCUGCAUAAGGAUGAACCGUUUUACAAAGAGAUUAAUUCAUUUUUU